UAAAAGAUCGAGACGCUUGACGAUCUAGUACUAGUAGAAAACAUCGGGAAACCCCCUCCCCGUGUCGCUCCAACCACCCCAAGGGCCGCCACUCCCACCGUACCGCGGCAAUGCCGACGCCGCGAAACCGGAAGGUCCCUGCCCCUGCCCCGCCGCGCCGGCCGCCUCCCCGCCUGGAGUACCGCGCAAAGGACGGCGCGUGGUACGGCGCGCGCAUGGCGCUGCAGGGCGACUCGCUGCGCGUCAUGUUCGAGGAAUUCCGCGAGGAGUUCGACGAGUGGCACGACCCAGACGCGGGCGACCUCGCCUCCCCGGGCGACGUGGCCGCGCUCCGCGCCAGGUUCCGCCCGGCGAGCCCGCCCCUCGAGGACGCCCGCUGCGGCGACCUCCGCCGCGGCCAGCCGCUCUGCGUCCUCCGCGCCAUGCCCGACGGCGAGCGCAAGUACUACGACGCCGUCCUCGAUUCCGUGAAAAGAGCGGCUCACGUCACCGUGGGCGGCGAGGAGCGGUGCGCGUGCCGCUUCACGGUGCGGUGGACGGACGGGCCGUUCCGCGGCGGCUCCGACGAAGUCGGCGUCGACGAGGUCUGCUGCGUGCGGGACUCGCCGGUCAACGACCCGGUGCUGAGCGAGUUCCUGGACCGCGUGACGAGGUCGUUCGGCUUCUGCGACGGCGAGGAGAACGCGAAGGCGGCGCAGGACUCGCCGGUCCAGGACCCGCGGCUGAACGGGUUCCUGGACCGCGUGACGAAGUCCUUCGGCUUCUGCAACGGCGAGGAGAAACCGAAGGCGGCGGCGUCUCAGGGUACCGGGGCCACGCCGGCCCCGGGCAGCGAGCAGAGCGCGACGGCGGCGCCUCAGGCGAGCGGGGCCACGUCGCUCUGGGGCGGCGAGGGGGGGACUGCCUUCAUAAUCAUCGACUAGGUGUCGCGGCCUGCACUGCAUUCCUGCGCUUCUGUUUCGAUGUAUCCAUGUGCCUGCCCUGCUCGACGAUUGAUCAGGGCGCUUUGAUGGCCGUUUGACUUCUUCAAAAUCUUCGUCAUCUUGGUUGUUAGUCUUCCAUGUUCACAAGCAAAGAAGGUUAUGAAAUCGUACCAAGCAUUUCAUAGGGUAUCAAACUGCCAGAAAUAACAUAAACAUACGACAAUGCAUUUUUUUGUGGAUAGGGGCCGGUGGGGACGAGGAUUAUAACUGGUCAAAGUUUAUAUUUCAACCUUCGAUUUACGGUCCCUAGCAUUUUUUUACCCUCUUGAGCUAAUGCUUCACCCAUGGCUUGGUUUUCCCACAUUUACCCAGAGUCUGUUGUUCCAUAAGUGAUAAAAUCAAACAUUUGUAUGAGAAAAUAAACAAAAAUCAUCGACAGGACCGUUCAAAGUAAAUUAUGUCUGAGGAAACAGAUAAUAAACGAACUCCAACACGGGAGGAGCCAUGUAGAUUUUAAUUAAGGAAAACUUACUGCAUGAUACUAGAAUUAGCUCAGGGGUUGAACUUUGGAACAUGGGUCCAUGCACACCCCUUAUGAACAGUAAAAUCAGAAAAAAAUAGAGUGUGAGUGUGGAGUGUGGACCCAUGUUCUGUCAAUGUGUGAAGUUUCGCGAAGAAAUGACACGGUAUUCUGGGCAAAAAAGGCAAAGUCAGCGCUUAAAAAAACAUGUUUGAAGUAAUUUGGAUGUCCGAUUUUUUUAAUUUUAUUUUUGCCAAGAGUACAACUGAUGUCAUUUCUUUGCAAAACUUCACAUGUGAGUAGAACAGUUAACCUAAAAUUUUAGAAUUUUUUAUUUUAGAACUAUUUUUAAAAUUUUACUUUUCACAAGGGGUGCAUGGACCCAUGUUAACCAUUCUAUUUCAAAAUUUUAGAAUGAAGUAUAUUGGAGUAAGUAACGGGGGACAGAAAUAUGUAAAGCAUCUAUAAUAGUAUCAAAAUGCUAUCGAUCUAUGCGGAUGAUGUCGUUCUCCCACAUGGAUCUGGCAUUUGUCAAGGAAGUAAUGCACAUCUUUGGAGAGG
Triticum dicoccoides is the source of this 2004-nucleotide RNA transcript. RefSeq lists it as uncharacterized. The transcript has 3 exons. The record is from RefSeq and is a predicted model, not a curated record. Lineage: Eukaryota; Viridiplantae; Streptophyta; Magnoliopsida; Poales; Poaceae.